Molecule: ribosomal RNA, 1500 nt
Filed under: Klebsiella sp. enrichment culture clone SRC_DSB5
Lineage: Bacteria; Pseudomonadati; Pseudomonadota; Gammaproteobacteria; Enterobacterales; Enterobacteriaceae
Description: 16S ribosomal RNA
Rfam family: Bacterial small subunit ribosomal RNA
Source: RNAcentral
GAGUUUGAUCCUGGCUCAGAUUGAACGCUGGCGGCAGGCCUAACACAUGCAAGUCGAGCGGUAGCACAGAGAGCUUGCUCUCGGGUGACGAGCGGCGGACGGGUGAGUAAUGUCUGGGAAACUGCCUGAUGGAGGGGGAUAACUACUGGAAACGGUAGCUAAUACCGCAUAAUGUCGCAAGACCAAAGUGGGGGACCUUCGGGCCUCAUGCCAUCAGAUGUGCCCAGAUGGGAUUAGCUAGUAGGUGGGGUAACGGCUCACCUAGGCGACGAUCCCUAGCUGGUCUGAGAGGAUGACCAGCCACACUGGAACUGAGACACGGUCCAGACUCCUACGGGAGGCAGCAGUGGGGAAUAUUGCACAAUGGGCGCAAGCCUGAUGCAGCCAUGCCGCGUGUGUGAAGAAGGCCUUCGGGUUGUAAAGCACUUUCAGCGGGGAGGAAGGCGUUAAGGUUAAUAACCUUGGCGAUUGACGUUACCCGCAGAAGAAGCACCGGCUAACUCCGUGCCAGCAGCCGCGGUAAUACGGAGGGUGCAAGCGUUAAUCGGAAUUACUGGGCGUAAAGCGCACGCAGGCGGUCUGUCAAGUCGGAUGUGAAAUCCCCGGGCUCAACCUGGGAACUGCAUUCGAAACUGGCAGGCUAGAGUCUUGUAGAGGGGGGUAGAAUUCCAGGUGUAGCGGUGAAAUGCGUAGAGAUCUGGAGGAAUACCGGUGGCGAAGGCGGCCCCCUGGACAAAGACUGACGCUCAGGUGCGAAAAGCGUGGGGAGCAAACAGGAUUAGAUACCCUGGUAGUCCACGCCGUAAACGAUGUCGAUUUGGAGGUUGUGCCCUUGAGGCGUGGCUUCCGGAGCUAACGCGUUAAAUCGACCGCCUGGGGAGUACGGCCGCAAGGUUAAAACUCAAAUGAAUUGACGGGGGCCCGCACAAGCGGUGGAGCAUGUGGUCUAAUUCGAUGCAACGCGAAGAACCUUACCUGGUCUUGACAUCCACAGAACUUUCCAGAGAUGGAUUGGUGCCUUCGGGAACUGUGAGACAGGUGCUGCAUGGCUGUCGUCAGCUCGUGUUGUGAAAUGUUGGGUUAAGUCCCGCAACGAGCGCAACCCUUAUCCUUUGUUGCCAGCGGUUCGGCCGGGAACUCAAAGGAGACUGCCAGUGAUAAACUGGAGGAAAGUGGGGAUGACGUCAAGUCAUCAUGGCCCUUACGACCAGGGCUACACACGUGCUACAAUGGCAUAUACAAAGAGAAGCGACCUCGCGAGAGCAAGCGGACCUCAUAAAGUAUGUCGUAGUCCGGAUUGGAGUCUGCAACUCGACUCCAUGAAGUCGGAAUCGCUAGCAAUCGUAGAUCAGAAUGCUACGGUGAAUACGUUCCCGGGCCUUGUACACACCGCCCGUCACACCAUGGGAGUGGGUUGCAAAAGAAGUAGGUAGCUUAACCUUCGGGAGGGCGCUUACCACUUUGUGAUUCAUGACUGGGGUGAAGUCGUAACAAGGUAGC